Molecule: long non-coding RNA, 599 nt
Filed under: Setaria viridis
Lineage: Eukaryota; Viridiplantae; Streptophyta; Magnoliopsida; Poales; Poaceae
Description: long non-coding RNA (SVIR_LNC007130)
Source: RNAcentral
GAUGGAGAUGUAUGAAUUGAAGAUCCCGUAUGGAGAAAUCAAAGGGCAUGUUAAUGAAUUGAAGUUGGACUAGGAGAGUUGAAGCAUCUUCUAGGGAAGAAUAACAAGGCUGCUGUGGCUAAGAAAAAUAAGGCUGCUAGGGGUGGAUGCAACAUGGCUGCCAUUACUGCUGUUGUGAUCUUGAUUGUAGGUGUCAUGCUUGGAAUCUUUGCCUCACGAGUAGCUAAUGCUAAGUGAAGUAAUGGAUAGUGUAGUAGUGCUAUUUGUCAAUGAAUCUUGGUUCUAUUUCUGUUGUGUGGAAUUUGUCAUUUGGUUAUGUUGAGUUGUGAUUUAUGAACUUCAUAUGUAAUGUGACAUGUCUCAUCUGUUGUGUGGGAUCUAACAUUUGAUUGUGGUUAUGUUGAGUUGUAACAUGACUUAUCUGUUAGUUUAUAUAUGACAUUUAUUUUUGUGAGCUAUGGUUUAUAUUUUUGUGAGCUUCUUUCCUGCCAUAGUCACAUUCAGGAAUAUAGUGAGGCACUAUGCCAAGUGUUCUGUUGAGGAUGUCCAUGGGACAUUCAUGCAUCAAGGAUUGUACACAUUUCUAUAGGCGGGCCACG